CCACUCAGCGCUGUUGCCUUUCUUUUGGCAUCGGCUGCUGGUUGUUUUGGCUUUGACCGCCUCGUUUGCGGUCUCUGCUCAAGUUCUACGGUUACCGUACGUGCAUAGAUCUAGAACCCUCAACCUGUCUUGCUCAAGACGGCGUUGACACUCUUGUCUAUCUCUGGUAGAAGUUGGCUCGUUCCGAUUUUUUUCUAGAGUUUGUUUAGGAGUCGUCAUGCUAAAGCCGUUUCUGUAGCUUUGUUGGUGGAGCGGACCUAGGUCUAGCUAUGGCAUGUAAUGUCGUGGCUAUCCAAUUC
Molecule: ribosomal RNA, 299 nt
Filed under: Pseudo-nitzschia cf. australis
Lineage: Eukaryota; Bacillariophyta; Bacillariophyceae; Bacillariales; Bacillariaceae
Description: 5.8S ribosomal RNA
Source: RNAcentral